This 214-nucleotide long non-coding RNA is filed under the name Mytilus galloprovincialis (Mediterranean mussel). Lineage: Eukaryota; Metazoa; Mollusca; Bivalvia; Mytilida; Mytilidae. The record is from RNAcentral.
GUGAAAAAAGCCCUUAACAAUAAAACUCAAUAAGUUUGAGGUUAAUCUAGCCUUUAUUUUAAUCCUUAGUGUGCAGUUUUCAUGCACUAUACAACUGACAUACUGUAGAACAAUGGCUCAGGCACAGUUAUCUUUAAUCAAGAGCAAACAUAAACAAAAAAUUACUUCAAAUAAAUGAGGGAAAAAUUAAAAUGCAACAUAUGGAACCGGGGGC